GGGCCCGCACAAGUAGUGGAGCAUGUGGUUUAAUUCGAAGAUACGCGCAGAACCUUACCAACACUUGACAUGUUCGUCGCGACUCUAAGAGAUUAGAGUUUUCGGUUCGGCCGGACGAAACACAGGUGCUGCAUGGCUGUCGUCAGCUCGUGUCGUGAGAUGUUGGGUUAAGUCCCGCUAACGAGCGCAACCCGUCACUUUUAGUUGCCAUCAUUAAGUUGGGCACUCUGAAAGAACUGCCAGUGAUAAGCUGGAGGAAGGUGGGGAUGACGUCAAGUCCUCAUGGCCCCUUACGUGUUGGGCUACACACGUGCUACAAUGGUAUCUACAACAGGAAAGCAAGACUGCAGAAGUUAAG
RNAcentral lists this ribosomal RNA (358 nucleotides) under uncultured bacterium. RNAcentral describes it as "bacterial SSU rRNA". It matches the Rfam family "Bacterial small subunit ribosomal RNA", at positions 917 to 1267 of the family's 1533-position model. The record is from RNAcentral.